GCGCUAAAGUUCCUUAAUGGCAUGCCACUAAUAUUCCAGUAGUUCUAAAUUCCAUCUACUUGGGCAUUAAGGCUGAAUUUUAUACAUAUAAAAAAUAAUUCAAUUAUCAUACUUGCACAAUUUCACAUUUACACAUAUAUUCAUAAUAUAUAUUCCACUUUAAUUCAACCAAUAUAAUUUCAUCACAUAUCAAGACAAUCCAUUUCAAUUGUAAAACACAAUAAUUCUCACCUCAAUCAUUUACUAUAACAUUUAAUCAAAAUACAACAAUUAAUAAUUAGAUUCGGAUAUAGAAAUACAAACUAGGAAUUCCGAGCUAUUCGAUAUCGACU
This 332-nucleotide long non-coding RNA is filed under the name Gossypium barbadense (sea-island cotton). RNAcentral describes it as "long non-coding RNA (GBAR_LNC019739)". Lineage: Eukaryota; Viridiplantae; Streptophyta; Magnoliopsida; Malvales; Malvaceae. The record is from RNAcentral.